AUGGCUCAGGAUGAACGCUAGCUACAGGCUUAACACAUGCAAGUCGAGGGGCAGCAUGAUUGAAGCUUGCUUCAAUUGAUGGCGACCGGCGCACGGGUGAGUAACACGUAUCCAACCUGCCGAUAACUCGGGGAUAGCCUUUCGAAAGAAAGAUUAAUACCCGAUAGUAUAGUAUUUCCGCAUGGUUUCACUAUUAAAGAAUUUCGGUUAUCGAUGGGGAUGCGUUCCAUUAGAUAGUUGGCGGGGUAACGGCCCACCAAGUCAACGAUGGAUAGGGGUUCUGAGAGGAAGGUCCCCCACAUUGGAACUGAGACACGGUCCAAACUCCUACGGGAGGCAGCAGUGAGGAAUAUUGGUCAAUGGACGAGAGUCUGAACCAGCCAAGUAGCGUGAAGGAUGACUGCCCUAUGGGUUGUAAACUUCUUUUAUACGGGAAUAAAGUGGAGUAUGCAUACUCCUUUGUAUGUACCGUAUGAAUAAGGAUCGGCUAACUCCGUGCCAGCAGCCGCGGUAAUACGGAGGAUCCGAGCGUUAUCCGGAUUUAUUGGGUUUAAAGGGAGCGUAGGCGGGUGCUUAAGUCAGUUGUGAAAGUUUGCGGCUCAACCGUAAAAUUGCAGUUGAUACUGGGCGCCUUGAGUGCAGCAUAGGUAGGCGGAAUUCGUGGUGUAGCGGUGAAAUGCUUAGAUAUCACGAAGAACUCCGAUUGCGAAGGCAGCUUACUGGACUGUAACUGACGCUGAUGCUCGAAAGUGUGGGUAUCAAACAGGAUUAGAUACCCUGGUAGUCCACACAGUAAACGAUGAAUACUCGCUGUUGGCGAUACACAGUCAGCGGCCAAGCGAAAGCAUUAAGUAUUCCACCUGGGGAGUACGCCGGCAACG
RNAcentral lists this ribosomal RNA (881 nucleotides) under uncultured Bacteroidota bacterium. RNAcentral's name for it is "bacterial SSU rRNA". It matches the Rfam family "Bacterial small subunit ribosomal RNA", at positions 19 to 893 of the family's 1533-position model. The record is from RNAcentral. Lineage: Bacteria; Pseudomonadati; Bacteroidota.